Molecule: ribosomal RNA, 216 nt
Filed under: Mucoromycotina sp. WR865-D
Lineage: Eukaryota; Fungi; Mucoromycota; Endogonomycetes; Endogonales; Densosporaceae
Description: partial small subunit ribosomal RNA
Rfam family: Eukaryotic small subunit ribosomal RNA (bases 91-216)
Source: RNAcentral
CUCUGGCUGGGCGGUCCACCUUUGGAUGGUACUGCUCUGGCUGGGGUUUACCUUUCUGGUGAGCCGCCAUGCCCUUUGCUGGGUGUGGCGGGGAACCAGGACUUUUACCUUGAAAAAAUUAGAGUGUUUAAAGCAGGCCAAUUGCUUGAAUACAUUAGCAUGGAAUAAUGGAAUAGGACGUGCGGUUCUAUUUUGUUGGUUUCUAGAGUCGCCGUA